RNAcentral lists this ribosomal RNA (468 nucleotides) under uncultured bacterium. RNAcentral's name for it is "partial 16S ribosomal RNA". It matches the Rfam family "Bacterial small subunit ribosomal RNA", at positions 28 to 507 of the family's 1533-position model. The record is from RNAcentral.
GACGAACGCUGGCGGCGUGCUUAACACAUGCAGGUCGAACGGAAAGGCCCUGCUUUUGUGGGGUGCUCGAUUGGCGAACGGGUGAGUAACACGUGAGUAACCUGCCCUUGACUUUGGGAUAACUUCAGGAAACUGGGGCUAAUACCGGAUAGGAGCUCCUGCUGCAUGGUGGGGGUUGGAAAGUUUCGGCGGUUGGGGAUGGAUUCGCGGCUUAUCAGCCUGUUGGUGGGGUAGGGGCUUACCAAGGCUUUGACGGGUACCCGGCCUGAGAGGGUGACCGGCCACAAUGGGACUGAGAUACGGACCAGACUCCUACGGGAGGCAGAAGUGGGGAAUAUUGCACAAUGGGCGGAAGCCUGAUGCAGAAACGCCGCGUGCGGGAUGACGGCCUUCGGGUUGUAAAACGCUUUCGCCUGUGACGAAGCGUGAGUGACGGUAAUGGGUAAAGAAGCACCGGCUAACUACGUG